Molecule: non-coding RNA, 408 nt
Organism: Candidatus Saccharibacteria bacterium RAAC3_TM7_1
Lineage: Bacteria; Candidatus Saccharimonadota
Rfam family: transfer-messenger RNA
About the family: Bacterial tmRNA, also known as 10Sa RNA or SsrA, is named for its dual tRNA and mRNA-like properties. Its role is to liberate the mRNA from a stalled ribosome. To accomplish this part of the tmRNA is used as a reading frame that ends in a translation stop signal.
Source: Rfam
GGGGCUGAUACAGCUUUCGACAGAUGGAUCUUAACAACCUGCUCUGCAAGUCGCUUCAACAGACGUAAUCUGUUAUAUAAUUGCAAACUUUAUUGCAAAAGCAAAGACUGGACUAGCGAAAUUAGCUGAUGCUGUUCGCGUUCAGACCCUUGCGCCAGCAUUGGUCUAAUCUCCAAUGCCGUGGUCGUCCAGAUACCUAUUAUGGAUGGACUGCGUCAUAGUAAUAGGUAAACGAUACGAUCCAGUGCUCCAGUGGAUCGUGGCGAGACUGUUCUGUAGCCCAUGCUUUGUUCACGUUCGUUCCGUUUCUUGGAACCGAGCAUGGCUAAAACAACAAAUGGAACUAAGCUUGUAGACGAGUAGGAGGUUACCGUUUGGACGCGGGGGCAGUACCCGCCAGCUCCACCA